CACGAACUGCGCGAACGUUAUUCGGAAUCACUGGGCUUAAAGAGUUCGUAGGCGGCCAUGCAAGUCGGGUGUGAAAUCCCUCGGCCCAACCGAGGAAUGGCGCCCGAUACUGUCUGGCUUGAGGAAGUUAGGGGUGAGCGGAACUGAUGGUGGAGCGGUGAAAUGCGUUGAUAUCAUCAGGAACACCGGUGGCGAAAGCGGCUCACUGGGACUUUUCUGACGCUGAGGAACGAAAGCUAGGGGAG
Molecule: ribosomal RNA, 245 nt
Filed under: uncultured Pirellula sp.
Lineage: Bacteria; Pseudomonadati; Planctomycetota; Planctomycetia; Pirellulales; Pirellulaceae
Description: partial 16S ribosomal RNA
Rfam family: Bacterial small subunit ribosomal RNA
Source: RNAcentral